GGGCCCGCACAAGCGGUGGAGCAUGUGGUUUAAUUCGAUGAUACGCGAGGAACCUUACCAGGGCUUAAAUGUAGAACGACCGAUUUGGAAACAAGUCUUCUCUUUGAGCGGUCUACAAGGUGCUGCAUGGUUGUCGUCAGCUCGUGCCGUGAGGUGUCGGGUUAAGUCCCUUAACGAGCGCAACCCCUAUCUCUAGUUGCCAGCGGAUAAUGCCGGGGACUCUAGAGAAACUGCCCGUGCAAACGGUGAGGAAGGUGGGGAUGACGUCAAAUCAUCACGGCCCUUACGUCCUGGGCUACACACGUGCUACAAUGGUCGGUACAGAGGGCAGCUACCACGUGAGUGGGAGCGGA
This 353-nucleotide ribosomal RNA is filed under the name uncultured bacterium. Its description in RNAcentral is "bacterial SSU rRNA". It matches the Rfam family "Bacterial small subunit ribosomal RNA", at positions 917 to 1271 of the family's 1533-position model. The record is from RNAcentral.